GGAGGAGUGCCAGAGCGGUUGAAUGGGCCUGUCUUGAAAACAGGUAGGCUCGUAAGGGCCUCGUGGGUUCGAAUCCUACCUCCUCCG
Molecule: transfer RNA, 87 nt
Filed under: Candidatus Omnitrophota bacterium
Lineage: Bacteria; Pseudomonadati; Candidatus Omnitrophota
Description: tRNA-Ser
Rfam family: tRNA
About the family: Transfer RNA (tRNA) molecules are approximately 80 nucleotides in length.
Source: RNAcentral